GGUUUACCUUACUCACAAUAACUACUUUCCUGUAACAUGGCUGGAAAGAAAGAAGGAAUCCUAUUGACAUUCCCAUUGGUGAAAGUCAGAACAUGAGGGUCUGGAUCCCAUCCAGUAACAGAACUAAAUCCAGUCCUGUGUCAGGAUGAUGUAACCACCAGGGGAUUGCAGAUGCCAAGCACAGGAUAUGUGUGGAGGUGUGGACAGCUGGGAUUGUCUGCUCAUCCACUGGCCUAACUGCCUGAGCCAGCACAAAGGAUGAGUUUUUCUUCUUUGCCAGGAGGGCAUAUCCAAAGCUCUCAUAAGGAGACUGAAACCAUGGGCUGGAUUUGCUAAGGGCUGUGAAACUUUUUCUGCCUUAUUGGGAGGAAAUAUGUACUGGGUUGCCAAGGUGGAAUUUUAUCAGCUUGCCUUCAAAGUCUACUGGAGACAGGAGAAAGCUGCCUUAGGACUUCAGCAUCCCAGGAACUAGAAAAAAAUGGUUUUGAAGGACCUCAGCAUGAUUCCAUCCUAAUUCGGAAUACUGCACAAUGCUGAAGAAAUGAGGAAAGUGGGCUGAUGAGGACGAGGUGAACUCUGAGAAGAAUUGAUUCCAUCCUUGCUCUGCUACAGAACCUCAUCAUCUUAAUAUUGCAGAAGUUCAUCUGCGUCCUGCAGUGCUGGUGCUAAGAAAUGAGGAGCAAUUCCCUCAAUAAGAUCCAGGGUGCUCUCCCACAGAAGACAGUGACAUGACAGGAAUGGUGACACAAGGCUCUUACUGUUACAUUCAAUAAUUGAUUCUCCUGGAUGGAUUGUGACUCCCUAAAGGUUGCAAAGAGAGAUCCUUAGUGGACACCAGCGUCUAAGUCAGCAGCAAAAGGAAAAGCAGGAGCCCAGGACACUGGGGGUGGACCCCAGCAGCACAAAGUGAGGCAUUAAACUGCUAAAAAGUUCCCUGAUGAAAUGCUGGGGUCUUUUCUCAGUUGUUGACAAAAAUUCUCCUUAAGAAUCCAGUCAGUUUUUAAUCUCUUUUUUGUUUGGAUUGAUUUUCUCUGUAUUUUGCCAAAGCUGCCUAUGAAGUGGUAGUGGUUGAUUUUCACAAGGCAAGAGGGUUCAGCUCAUGUCAGCCAGGCCUCUGUGCUUGUUCAAAGGUUCUGCAAAUCUGCUGGGACUACAAAUUGGCCAGAAGAAAUUGAGGGAAGAGUCUGUCUUACAAUAUUCCUGUUCCUCUUCUAUUCCAACAGAAACUUUGACAAUUCUUUAACAUUUUCCUCAGUUUUUUUGUUUCUCUGAAACUAGGAGUCAGAAAUGAAGAAAAUAAACAGCACAACUAUGUGAUGAACAGGUAUCUUUUAGAUACACAAAAUGCAUACUUAUGUAUGUCUAGUGAGAAUAGGGUGGGACAGGUUCUUCUUGUUUAUCUGAAUAGUUUUACCUGUCUCAAUCCUGAAAACCUGUCAGUUUUCACAUAAAGAUAUAGGUAUAGACACGCUAUGUUCAAAGUAGAAUUCCUGAAUGUAAAGGUUGCUUACAAAAAAUUUGAAUAGAAAGAAGAUAAAUCAAGUGAUAAAAUACAGAGCUUUAGGUCAAUAAUUACUCAAUGUGGUGCAAGUUUUAAGUGAAAUUUCCAGCAUACAGCUGCUCCACGUGUAGCCACUUCUUCCUGCAAGAGGAAAGAAACACUCAGCCAGAGAGUGUAACAAUGAAUUACAUUCAACCUAGAAGUGCUUUAGCACGUCUUCAAGAGCUGCUGCCUGCUUCAGUGAUGGAUUAUAAGUUAGCAUGGAAUCCCACAGGCAUGAAGGUAUUUAUGUAGUGUUCUGAUUGCUUGGACACUCCCAACAAAUGUACAGAAAUCAGAGUAUCACUAUCUCCCACUUAAUUUUAUUUAUUUAUAUUUAGCGAGUGCUGGAAUAUUACAAAGCAGCAAGCACAGCUGCAGCUGGAAUAUACUUUCCAAAGCAUAUUUACAGUAGCUCUCACUCACACUGGGUAAUGGUGUAUUACUCCAUAAGUAGUUCCAUUGAUUUCAAGAGAUCCAUUAGAGAGGUUCCAUUCCUUGUACAGCUGAGUGUAUCCCAAUUUGGUCCCAUGGUUGAAAUGCAGAAAGAGCUCCUUUACUGCUGUGUUCCUAAGUGCAUGACCAGUUUGAAAAAAGCCCUACACCAAGCUCUUCCUCCCCCAAAAGCUCAUGAUAGUGCAAAAUACUGAUGAGGCUGGAGGAAUAAGGUUUUGCUGUAUUUUAUUUCCGUGCAGAAGCACUGUUACAUGUUCUUCAGUUAUACAUAGAUGAAUGUUCAUUCCAUGUGCUGUUUUCAGCUGUGUACUUACACCAGCCCAGAAUCCCAAAGAGAAAAGUAAAAGCUGAGAUUCGCAUCAGUAGCAGAGAGCAUCAGGUGAUGUUGAUUUAAAGAAAACAUUAAUCAAUCCAGAUUUUCUUGGAACGGGGCCCAGGUUCACUCAACAGGUUGGUGAACCUUAGCAAAUGUUUCUGUGAAUCUGUUCUGUGUUUUGACUUUGUAACGUGAUCUGAAAUCAUCUGAGUUUCAUGUGGUUUCGUUGUGCACGUUUGGAACGCUCGUGGGGCGAAUCCAGGGAAAGACAGAGAUGCUAAAUUUUGCAUGACGUGGUAAGGGAGCCCCCUCUGAGGUCUUUGAGAUUCCAGCCAGCAUUGGAAGUGACAGCCCAGAUAAGGCAGAAAGAUUUGAGUUAUCCUGCUACUUACCAAGAGGAGAAAAACAGCAUAAGAGCGUUGGUUAAUGGGCAUGCUUUGGAUUCACACUGGAUCCUGGAAGCAAAAUUGUCCCCUGUGGAUGUAGAGGUAUCAUGCUAAAUCCCCUCAGAUGGGUUUCUCAUCUCACCUUUCUGGAAUACCUGUGGUGUCACCUCUUUGUCCUGUAACAGCUUUAUGGUAAAGACUGAGUAGACCUUGGGCAUUCUGAAACCAGCGGUUUCUCUGUGCUUCGCAGUUGCUAAUUGCUUUCACCCCGCACGCGUGGCCCGAUGCACUCUCUGAGUUACUGAACCUGAGGACCUGCUACAGAUGGGAAAGCUGAGGUGCAGAGGGUUUAAGGGCUUCAUUCUUCUUUUGUGACCUACAGCCUCAACGAGAGUUUUUACAGAAAUGGAACACCACGGAACAGCAAAUUUGGGACCCCUGUCACUUGACAAAAGAAAUGUUUGGCUCAGAAUGUUAUUUUUCUUAAAUGUAUCUUUCAGCCACUGUCAUUAAAAUUGUUGAACAGCUUUAGGAACCUGUUUUGUCAACUACCUUGGGGACAAGUAUGAAAUACUGGGCUGUUAAACGUGCACCACAGAAAAUGAACUGUGCCGUGCACGAGCCACGGGAGGAGCACACCUCAGCUCCUCGUGGACCCUCCCCACUGCUGCAGCAGCUCUAAUUAGUUGGGAUUAGAUAUUCCCAACUCAGGGAGAUGCUCUCCAUAAAUAUUUGUUUGCACUUAAAAGCAGAUUUCUGCAAAGGUUCUGGUGCUGGCAGUUUCCCUGCAGGAGCAGUGGCAAAGCGGGGAUGCAAUGCCCAGAGGUGCACGAUGUGUGCAGCCCGUGUUGUGCACUGAGGACACUUAAUCAGCCAAGUUUUGGGUUAUUUCUUCAAGUAGGGCAUUGGUGGGGCUGAUUCUUACAUUUUUAGAUAUAUUUAGUAUGUAAAAAAAUGUGUACACCACUGUGCAUUAAACUGAACUGCACAAAUGAAUUUUGUGCCUGAGAGCAAGAAUAUUCAUUGUAUACAUUAAUGCUUCCUCAUUUCUAAUUAUUUAUUUCUAAAUAUGGGUGAAGCUGCCUGUCUCUGGAGGGGGGUAUUGCAAUUCUGUGAGGUUAUGUUUGGAUGGAUAAAAGUGUUUUACUCCCACAAUAUUCCUUUUUAAAUAAAUAUGUAGUGAUAAGCCAGUGACAUUGCUAAAAAAAGACACUGCUAGAAAUUAUGAUUAUCAUAACUGUAGUGGACUGGGGUAAUGGUGCUGAGUUAAAGUUCCUGUGGUAAAGUUUUUGCAAAUUCCAGGGACUUUCUGAGAGAGUAAGAGGGAAGUCAAAGAUGUUUGUGGGUUUUUUACUCCAUAAAACUCCCUCCAGAAACAAAACAGGUAAAAAUGAAAGGAACAAACUAUGCAGGAAAGGAACAAAAUAGGAAGGUAAGUAACUGAUUGGAAACCCCAGGAACAGAAUAGAAAGACAAGGAAGGCUGACAAAAUAUUUUAAUUAUUCUCCUUGAAUGAAAGAGUUAUGUGGGGGAAAAGAAUGCUCCUUUUAAUUUUAUGAAAUUGAAUUUUAUAAAUUCUCUCUGUUUAAUGCCACUGUCUACUCUUGCUUGUAAUUAACAGUAUUCAAUGGUAGCACUUAUUAACCUCAGUAACACUUUGUUUAAAACAAUAUUUUGCAAAAUUGCAGUCUGUUUUUCACUGCUGUGCAUUGCUGCAUGUCUGGGAGAGGUUCUACAGCCACCCAUAACCCACUUCAUCCUCAAAUCCAGGCAUACUUUACAUUCAGAGCUUUGAAAACCAGCUAAAUUUACACCCAGCUUGCUCUGGAAAUAAAUCUGCUCAUUUAGAUGAGGUCUCAUUUAAAAUGGCUUAGCCCAAUAAUUAAUCAUUUCAUUCUCUUUAUAUAUUUGUGGGUGUUUGAAAGAAGUUUGAUUAGUUACCAGUGAUUACACUUCCCAACACCCUGCAAAGGAAAUAAUAAAAUAAAACCCGUCAGGCUUUUGUAAGGAUUGCUGGGGCUGAAUUUGGGAUGAAUUUAAUAGUGACUUACUAACUGGCAAUUAUUUGUCUGCCUUUAACAGGAACUCCAUAAUGAAGGAGGUUAUCAUCCAGGAGUUAUACCCAGCUUGUUUUUAAAUCUGCAAAGGGAAGAUAGUGUGAACAAAGCAGUGAUGGCUCUCAGGUUCCUCCCCAGGCACCAGGAGAGCAGUGGGGAUGUUUUGGAUCACCUGAGCACAGGUGGUCCAAAAUUGAUCAUUAUAUAUUAUGGAAGAAUCUGGAGAUGGAGCAUGCUGGAAGAUGUUUUCUGCAUCACACAGAGUUAAAAGCCUAAUUAGACAGCUAAAGUAGCCUCCAAAUAUGCAGACGCUCUUUUGCACUCCAAAAUAGUUGCAUCAGCUAUCAAUCAAGUGGAUAAAUGAUGCAGACAGGCAACUGAGGGUUUUCAUUUAUACUGGAGCGCUCUUCAACUCAUGUCUGUCACUGAGGGCUACAUGUGGUUGCUAAGCCUCCCCUAUCACAUGGAAGGGUGGAGACAAGGCAGCAGUUUUCUCUGGAAAAGAGACAGAUGAUCAUGCCAAGUUGUGGAGAAGUACUGGCAAUGGUUUUCUUGGGAAGAGAUUGAGACACUCUUUUGACAGGAGCCAACACCCAUUUUGAGAUGGAAAAUGUUCAUCCCACCAUCUAACUCUGCAGCAUCUUCUCCAGCAGGAGCUUCUCUGGGAAAACACGCACUGCUGUGUGAUGCUGGAGAUCCUGUGGCUUGCUCUGUCACCAGAACCGACCCUGCCUGUGCUCAUGCUCUCUUUUUAUUGCAUUUUUGCCUGCACAAAAUGCUGUGAACAGCCAACUGGCCACAGUUAAACAUGAGAAUGGGACUGAAGCAUGUUUCCCCUGCCUGCUGCCUUUGUUUCCAGAGACUUUGUGGUGGUAUCUUGUCUUGUUUGUCUCUGCAUCAGUCUGGUCAUCAUCUAUUGUCUGUCAGUUUGGGGCUCAGUGUCCCGUGCUCAGGCAGCAGGAGUCUAACAGGGCUCACCUCUCCCCAGGCUGCUGUGGCAGGGUUCACAGGGAGCCUGCUGUCAGUAUGUGCACUGCUGGUUUGGGCAAAAUGAGCUCUGCAUUCACAAAUAAUACAACUUUGGCUAAAUUCAAGCCCAAAGGAAUCACUACCUUGUGCUUUUCCCUCACGUGUGUGUUUUUAGACUAGCUACAGUUUGGAUACUAGCUGGCAUAAAUCCCAUUUUUUUGAUGGUUUGGGUUUUGGUGCCUGGGACAGGGUUGUGUAAAUCUGUUCAUUCAGUUAAACCAGAGUAACAGCUGAAUUCAGACAGGUCUGCUACAGAGACCUGCAACACAUACCCAAGGUAAAGCAAUUCCCACAUCUCACUGACAGAUACAAACAAAUAGUCAGUUUUAAAGCUUUUGUACAGAAGACACUAUAGCCAUUUAAAAUACAUUUUAAGAGUGCAAAAGGGUGAGUGGGUAUUUCCAAAUGCACAGCACAAAACAAGAGCUUACAGAUUGCCAGAAAACGGUGGAAAUCGAGGAGAUAGCAGUAUCUCCUAUUUGGAUAACCACGCAGAAAACAAGUGCUGUGAGCUUUGGGCCUGUGGAGCACAGGGAUGGGAUCAGCAGGCAGAGGUAAGGGAAGGGCACUUGGUGGGCUUUAUUGUGUUCCAAGACUGCAUCCUAUUUCCUACACUAAAGGAACACAUCGUGUUGGGUUUUCUCCAACAAGCAGGAUAUUGUUUAAGUCCUUUUUCAACAAAGUAUUAUCAAGUUUAUUUGGGGUUUUUUGUUUUGCUUUUAAUUGGGAGCAGCAGCAAAGUUCAGAGUACCAUAGGCAGAUGUUACAGGGACACGAAAGUACAAGAUAAGGUGCUUCCUACCACAGGAAGGCUAUUUUAAUAGUUGGUUUUUAAGCUGAUAUUUACAAAGGAAGGAAAGUCAAAGGCAACAAUAAUUAAUGUCAUCAUUAUGGUGCUGAUUUGCAGAGAAACAUAGUGGGAUUAGGAACUCAGUCAUUUCAGAUUUUAGAAGACUUCAACACCAGAUCAGGGAGCAACUGAAACACAAUCAGCAUCAAAAUCUAGGUGUUGCUCUCUAAAUUUUAUGUAAGGAACCUAUAUUUAUAUAAGUGUAUCGAUUGCAGAUGGAAAAGAGUGUUAACAAAAGGGAAGGUAAAGUUACAGGUCUCACCAUCUUCCCUCAUUAAUGGUUCUCAGCAAAACCUGCUGAGCUUUGUGACUUUUUAUUUAUCAUUAAAACACAAUUUUUGUUAUUUGCUGAAUGGUUAAAAUUUAUUUUCCUGGUAAUUUGGGGAGGUAGCUGUUUAUCAUAUGGAAUGAUAAACAAAAGCUGCAAAAAUCUUUUCAAAUGGGUUAGUUUGCAGCCCUAUAGAGCAGAGCUUCAUGAGUUUUUUUGCAUCGUCAGGAAAAUCUAAACUAAUUUAAUUCAUGGUAGGGAGCAUAUGUUAAUGACUUCUCUGGGUGGAGGAAGGUAGUGCACACCUCCCUUCUAACUCAGUGGUCCUGAUCUACAAGCAGGCCAAUAGAUCAAAACCACACGCUAUCUCAUGGUAAGAAUUGAAUUCAUGUUCUCCUUAGAUGCUUUUAUGCAUCACAAAAACCAUUGGUGUGUUUGCUACCGCUUCAAGCUGUCCAAAGGUUGAAUUAGGUUCAGGUGGGAUGGAUCCCUGAGCAGCCUGGGCUGGUGGGUGGCACCUCUGCCCCUGGAUGAUCUCCCCUCCACCCCAAACCAUUCUGUGAUUCUGUGAUCUCCCUGCCCAGCAGAACCAGGUGCUGCUGGCCAGCGGGAGAGGAAGGGAGGGAGCUCUGCUGUGAGCUGAUACAGCAUUUCUGCUUUGCCAGCUUCCUCCCUUGCAGGCUUGUUCUGACUUAACAACUCUGUUGAAAAACUGUAUAAAGGAACCAAAAGAAAAGGUAUUUCAAGGAAUGAAAUUAAGAAUUGUAAGGAUCUUUGAAUAACUAGUGUUUUCAAACUGGGUUAAAGCAGACUUAGAGUAAUCUGACAUGAUGUAAUCCUAGUGAAGUUGCAGGAAAGCAGAAAUUAAGUAUUUAUUUGGUAUUACAGUGUCUAGUAUAAGAUAUUGUUAAGUACUGUCAGUAACUCAUUAUAUAUUUAUUUUAAAAAAUAAGAACUUAAAAGAAAAAAAGAAAUUUGAGAUUAGAAUGUGGUUGCUGUACAUGCAUUAUACAUGCUUCUCCUUCUGUUCCACUAAUGGAUCCUGACUGCCAGAACAGCGAAACGAACCAUUGAAAUUAGCGGAACUAAGACCCAGAUCUAUUAGAAAUUUUCAUUUGCCUCCAGUGUAGAAUUUCAGACAGAUCCCUGAUUUCUGCAAAGCAUUUCCAAAGUAUCACAGCUAUGCUGAAAAAUGAGUUUUCUGUCAAGGGGAACAAACGUGGUGGUAGAAGCCAUUGAAACUUCUGCUUCCUAAUGGCCACACUGAAAAGACAUGAAAAGAAUGAAGCAUCUCUAGUGGCACAUCAUUAAUGCUGGUGGCAAGCUGAGGAACUGCUGGGGAAAGAAACAGCAGCAGCAGAAAGAGCAUGAGAUGAAUGAAGUUGGAGUCAUCAGCAUGGAAGUGCCACGUUAAUUAUACCGUGUUCUGAAAAGAACUAAAGGCAGAAACAAAGCUGAAACCAAGAGGCACAAGCCACCCAUGUAGGCUUCACUACCUGAUCUUACCAGGGUUUUAUUAGAAGUCACUGCUGGAAAAUAGAGCUUCUAACCUCUCAGUCCUGGUGUUCUCCCACUGCUGGAAGAGUGGCUAAUCCCAAAAUUUUCACGUUCUGAGCAAAAAUCAGAGGUAAAAUUCUGUUACAGUUGGAAAUGUAGUUAUUAGUUAUCAAACAAAUAAAAUAUGGAAUGGAACUUACGGGCCACAGUAGUUACCCUUGGAAGGGGAAAAAUUCUAGUGAAAAUCAUGUUAAAAUAUACUGCAGAAGUGUCAAAAAUCUGGUCUUCAGUACAAAAUACUCUUCUGAAACCCUCCAGCAUAAAGUUAUGCUUCCUUACUAAUGCUGCCCAAGCAUGCUCUGCUUUUGCCAAAAUAAUGGAACUCUGAACCUUUACUGGGACUUUCCAUAUGACUGUGGCUUUAAGUUAUAUCCUUCAAUUUUUUACUUUUUCUGUGUUUUGGUAAUGGGAAUGUUUAGUGCCUGGAAAAUCUGAGACAUUGAAAGAACCUAAAAAAAAUGUAUAUGCAGGAGAGGCUUUGGGUUUCUUCUGAAUCCUGGUCAGGCUCUGGAAAACAGAACCAAACCUCAGAACCAAAAAUUCCUUCAUGAGUUUUCAACAUUUCUGCUAGUGCUGAGUUCCAGGGUCUGGCUUACAUUGGGAAACCUUGACUCCUGGCUCCAAAGGGUUCAAUUAGUCAAAAUGGUUGGCAGAUGGAAAAAAUAAUUAAGUUCCAUCCAGUGUUUUGUACAAUAAAAAUAGACUCAAGACACAAUGGCCUUACCUUGAACUUUGCAGGCCAGCGUCACAUAAAGAUAAAGAGGGAGUCAGCUUGUAGGAGCUGGAUUAUCUACCAGCACAUGAAAAGUGUGAAGCUGGGCUGCAAGGACCAGAGGUAUCAGAAUGUGCAGGCUGAGCACGUGAUUAUUACCUUAAUGACUGUUUUUUAGCCCAGAUUGAAGAUGAAAAUUCUGGCAAUGAGAAAUAACUUGACAUGGAUAUUAUGAGAUUAUCAAAACCUCAUGAUAGCAGUAAUAACAAUAAUCAUCUCUUAUUUGAAGAGCUGCUGAAAUGCAUGGAAAUUUUAAAAUAUUAUUCUUAGAAAUCUUUCUCCUAAAUGCUUUGUCUUUCCUGAAAAUGACAGAAAAGUAGAUAGGUAACGCUUUUCUCAAAUAAAUUUUCUUUUGCUCAAAUACAGCCUUAGAUGCCCAACUUCAAGAACUUGAGUACUUGAAUGUACAAUUAUGGACAAGAAACAUAACCUGUGCUAUAACUUGACAUCAAAACUAUUUUUACUUCAACUGUCCUGUAAGCUGUGUAGGCCAAAGAAUUAGAUCUCACAUUAUGCACCAAAUCAUUCUGAAUAAUGAAUAUAUUCACAAAAAACAUAUAGGCAUAUAGGGUAGAUUUGCAAAUUGGGAAGUGUGACUUACUACACAAAUUAUUUAUUAUAAAAUAGGCUGUAGUGAAAUUUUUAUGGACAAAGCAAUGUUUUGGAUAAUAAAUUACAUAUUACAGACAAUAAAAAGUGGACAGAUUCCCCACCACUGUCAACCUGGCAGUAGAGGGCACGUGGGCUCUGGAGAUUUAUCUCUAAGUAUAGAAUGAAAUCUCCAGAUAACUAGGGCAGAACAGAGUUCUAGGUUGUAAUAUUAAUAAAGUUUUCCAGAAAGUGUAAGAGUUCCACAUAUCUGCACUUUCACAUCUACGUUUUUACAUCUGCUCUUGGCUGUCACUCAGGGCUGGAUGCAACUGGGUGCUCAACAUCUAAAAGGGAUGGUGAAAUAAAUUACACAGAUCUCUGUGCAAGUCUGAUCAAGCUCUGAAAGGUGAGGUAAGUCUGCUUCCUAUUGCUCACCUCCUUCCUUUUCUUCCCUAAAAUUCUACCAGGGACGAUAUCCAUCUCUUUCCCUCUCCCGCAUCCCUGCUCCCAGGCCGCCCUGCCCCACUGGGGCUGCACCCACCAUUGCCACCCCAUGCUUUUCCACAGCAGUAGGGUUUUGUUCCAUGUGUGAGCAGUGCUGGGGAUCCAGGGUGAGGACAGGAGUACACAGGGAGGCUCCUGAUGGGAUAUCAUGGAGUGUUUUGGCAGCACUGGUGUGGUUGAAUUAUACGACUGGUGCCGCACUGCCAGCACUUUAAAGAAGUGAUGUCUGUGUGUUUGUGAUUGCUCUGAUGGUCUGGGCUCCUCUGAGGGUGCAGAUGGCCCCUACCCUUAUCUUCAUGGAGUGUCUCAUGUUUAUUUGUGGUGGUAGUCCAGAAAAACCACUGAAUCUAUCCCAAAUCAUAUGGUGUUUAGAGGGAUAAAGAUGUUCAGCUGAGCCUGGGAAUCAUUAGGUGGCUGCCUUGAAGCCAAGCUGUUUGGAUGGGGCUCAGUUUCACAGCUGGCAGAAGAAGGAGAAUCUUUUUCUCCUCCAGUUGCUGAGACUGUCAGCAGCAAACUUGCAGAGCCACCUCCCCGUUCUUGGGGAUUCAUGGGAUGGUGGAGUGGUGGAUGUCCUGUUUGGUGAACUCUAAAGCCAUUUUGUUGGGGCAUGUGUGUGAGGGGGUACCUUUAAAUCUGGAGCCCAUUCUUUAUUGUUUUGUGGCUGGGGUCCAAGUAUUGGAUCUGUCUAACAGUCUCCUUGGGAUAACAGUGAGGAUCUUGAUAUUUAAAGUAGGAUGUGGCAAAGGUGAAGGGUCUCAAGAGGCAGAAUUUUUCCUUUGAGUCGUAAUAGUAGUUCACACCACCUGAACCUCCAAGUGAGCAUUCAAAGCCCUGAUUUCUCUUAUGUCUCAAGGGCCAAGCUUCCUGGGUUCAGCCUGUCCCAAAGCACAUGCUUCUGACUUGACACAGCUCUCCUUAGAGGCCAGGAAAAAUCAAUGUAUACUGUUGUGUUAAACCCAGUGAGGAUUAACAGAAGGGAUGUGCUAAUGAAUUCCACGUGAAUAUGCUGCAGCAGACCAGUCCACAAAGCACAGAAAUAAUUUGGUAGAAAACCUGCCUGAUUUCUAUUCCAGCUUGGACUGAUGGCUGAGCCUUUUCCUACCUGGAACCAGGGCUAUUUCCUGGGAUGCCACUGGCAUCACUGGGGUGGUGUGAGGUGUGGUACCCUGCCCAGCGUGGGCAGAGCUGCUGCUGCACAGAUCAGAGCAGGCAGCACAUCUUGAUGUCUGCUGCGACUCAUAAGGUGAAGGCUUUGAUGUAGGUCCAGGACCUGGCCCUGUGAUGCAAGAUGCACUGCAAAACCUGCUUUUCAGGGAGCACAUCCGUAGUCAUGGGAUCUUCAGAAACAAAAUCUUGUCCAUCAGGAAGCCUGUAACAGUGAUCAAUCCUCAGGACUCCCUGAAGAAGAGUUCCUUGUCCUAGAUUUGACAUUAGUAUCCUCCAGCUCUGGGGAAGCCCAGGCCUGUCUCAUGCUGUUACAUGAAUUACCAAAGCAAUGGCUUUAGGUUUUGCCUCCAAGUCAAAAGCACUUCAGUUCCAGCAUCAGUGCUCCCAUUGAAAAUGCUGAAAUACCUAUUUGUGUGAUGUUCUGUAAUUGAGUUUAGUUGUAUUACCUCAGAAAUACACUGCACUGAAAUCCUCUAAGUUUUCACUAGCAGAGCAGCUAUGCCAGCUGGCUAAGAGACUGGUGUGAUAAUUUUUCUACUUUUUCACCCACUUCCCUGAGCCUUCUUCACUUUUACUUCUUUUCACUAGCCUGGCUCUAGCUCUUCUCCUUGGCAGUGCUCCUGUGCCCACGUGCCUGCGCGCACACACACAGGCUCGGGCAGGUAUUCGUAACCUGACUUCACACUUCAUCCCUCUCCCUUGUUAAUUGUAAGAAAAAAGGGAAGGAAGAAUGAAAACAAAAGUGCUACACAGAGAAAUGAGGCAAAAAUAGAAAUCCAAGGGUAUGGUGGUUGCAAGGGAUGCCCAGAAAUUUCCUUCUGGAGUCUCUUUUAAUCAUCUCUUGUACUUUGCUUCACUGCUCUUCUUUCAGCUGCUCAGGCCAGGUUUCUUGGUAGCCUUUUAUUGCCAAGUGCUAUUAUAACCAAACUGCUCUGAUCUUUAGCCAAAUCUUAGGAUAGAAGUGGGUGUGCUGAAGCAUUGGUGAGCCAGUGAGGGAACUCUUUACCAGGGCUGGAAUGGCAAACAUGACUGUACAGAUGAGAGCUGUGCGAGCAGGACUGCAGUGCUGCCAUGGGGUCUGGUUUCAGCUGCUGCAUGCAGGGAAGAGCAGCCCUGGAUGUCCAGGAUAUACAACCCUUUGAGCUACAACCACACAGAUUGUAGCACACAGCACAGAUAACAAGAACCAUUUUAGGCUGCUGGGUACCUGAGACAACAUCUGGGUUUUGCUGACGUGUCCCCAGGCUGUGCUGACAAAGUGCAGAUUCCCAGCAGGAAUAACUGAGGCUGCACUGAAUCUUGUGCCCAGGCCAUCCUGGAGAGGAACCACCAAGGAGGCAGAAGGGUUCCCAUUGGGUUGUCAAGGCUGCAUCUCCCCUCCUCAUGGCUCAGUGUGGGCUCCACAGCUCUGCCUGGCUGGCUCUGGGCAAGGACCAAAGUGUGGCUGGAGCAUGAGGAGAGGCAGAGCUGGGAACACAGAGCCUUUACAUGUUCAUCCUCUGAAGGGCUGAAACACCAUUUAAACACACUAAUUUCUCUUAAAGACCUUGAUCCAUAUUAAUUAUUAAAAAGAAUGUCUGAGUGAAAGACCAAAAAACCUCCAAAAUUCUAUGCACAAAUGCACUGAGCUUGCAGGUUCCCAGAGCUUACACCGACUUUGUGCCAUACAUCUGCAAUAAAAGAUUCUCUAUUUGCUUAGCAGAUGUGCUGAAGUCAUGUAGAGUUCAAAUUUACCAUACCCAUCAAGAUGCAAAUCCCAAAUUUCGUUUAGCAUUGUCCCGUUGGUAAGGAUGUUAUGCGCAGGUCAGGAUUCUAUCUCCCCCCAAGCCCUUUAAAUGUGUUUAUUCAUUCUGUUUAUUUUCAUUUCCCAGUUUCCACAUGUUGCUCAGUCAGAUUUUCUGUUAGCAAGACUGAGAGACGAAUAACAUAUGUUACCCCACAACUGACCUUGAAGGGGAACUGAAGAAACCAUCUUCCCUAGGGCUGAGAUGUAAUUCAGCCACGAGCCUGCUCCGUAGAGGUCCUUUUCUGGAAAGACACUGCCAACUGCGUCGUAAGCCCUGGAAACGUUCCUGCCUGCAUCAACAGCAGAGCAUGAAGCUCUUGAUUCAUGGCCAGUCACAGCCCUGUCUGAGAGGGUUGGCCUGACUCUUCCAUGGUGUUUUCCACCUCCUCGCACAUUCUGUUCAGGAAGAAGUCACAGGAGGGCUGCUCAACUGCCCUGUCCUUGGCUGGCUGAGCUGGGCACAAACAGGAGCUCACCCAUGACUGUUGCUCUCCAGCAGUGCUCAGCAGCUCCUGGGAGAUGUGGAACUCUCCGUGGCCACAGAUGAUGCCAAGGGUUUAGGAUCUUCCCCUUGCUCCUUUCUCCCUUCACUUCUUCUCCAAGGAGCUGCAUUUCAGUUUAGUGCCACGUUUGGAAAUAUAUUUUCAGAUGGAGAACACUUGAUGGACAGAUGCUGGCCACUCCCUGGCAGGGACACCCAGAGCUUCUCCUCCAAGGAACUGAGCAGAGUUCAAGACUUUCAAGACCUUUCAAGACACCAAGAUGGGGAUGGGGACUGUCCUGUUUAAUAAUCACAGCCCAGUGGUCAGAGCCCUUCCUUGCAGAGCUGUUUUUAACUAACUGCCUUCAGCUUGGGUUAUUUCCACUUCUCAUCCAUCACUGUCCUGUGAAACUUUUGAUCCUGAUCAGUUGUGGAUGCCCCAUCCCUGGAAGUGUUUAAAGCCAGACUGGAUGGGGCCCUGAGCAGGAGGCAGCAGGAGGUGUCCCUGCCAUGGCAGGAGGUGGAACUGGAUGAGCAUUAAGGCCCCUUCCAACCAAAACCAUUCUCUGGUUCUAUCUAUUUGGGAUUUUGGCUUUGCAAGGGAUCGAGGCUCCCACCCAGCUUCAAACUCAGACCUCUUCAUGCCCCAGAGAGGCCACAAGCCUGAGCAGAGCUGGGGACACGCCAGGCAGGGAACGUGGAGCUGCACAACCCCAUGUCCUGUUCCGAGCACCUGCAGUUAGAGAGGGGUUUUAACCAGUCCAGUGUCAGCCAGACAGUGCUUCCCCAUUGUGGGAACCCCCAUUCCCUGCCUGUGCCCACUGAGGGGCUCACCUGUGGCUGUGGUGAAGGGGUUAAAGCAGGCUGGGCCAGGCUCCAGCUGUGUGUGGGGACUGGGCUGGCCAGCUGUGAGUUCAGCUAUCCCCCAGUCAGCUAGAAAAGGGCUGUGUCUCCUGCACUGUGAUUAGAAUGGGGGGAGGUAGGUUUUUGUCGUAGGGAAGGAGGUGGAAAAAAACUGUGCUUGACUGAUUCCUUGCUGAGCAGUGUCUGGGGAGGGUCUGGGCUGUGCAAAGCUGUCCUGAGAGGUGCUCUCUUGGCAGAGGGGUUAAGAUAAGCCUGACCCGCUGACUUCUUCACUUAACAUCCAGGCUGGGGAGAUGCUUGUUUAGCCCAAAAUCUUGGGUAAGGCAGUCAGCUGGAGUUCAAGAUCCAGGGACUUAAUGUCCCAUGACUGAGUGUAGCUUGUUUGACCUGUAGUGCAGAUCUUGAGAGGAGAGAGCAGGAGUGUUUUUAUGGUAUGUGCUGAGCCUGCUCUCCCUGACUCAAAUACCUCCUGGAAAAUGAAUAAUUGAACAUACAUGUGACUAUGUAUAGACCCUUCUUCAAACAGAACCUGAAAUGGGGAAGAAUAUCUUCCAACUUCAUAGACUUUUUCUGCUGCUAACUGCACAGGACUGGCCAUAAAAUCCAUAGGGACAUGGCUGUACAGCAGGGAGCAGGCUUUUCAGCCCACACUUUUCAGUCUGAGAAGUGGCCUUCAACUCUGAAUUCUUUAAGCUAAGCAGUGUGGUGAAUUCCUGCCUUCAAACUGAGCUGGGGUAGAAGGAGAAAACAAAUUAAUUCAGAUUAGAUUUUUCGAAAAUAUUAUUUGCCAAGCCACAAUGCUCCCUGCUAAAAUCAAGUGAUGUUACUAUUGGCACAGUGGGUUUAAACUCACUACUGGGUUUUGCAUGUUUUAGUGAAGGAUGAAACUGAUUGAAUGAGAUUGUCUAUUAGUUGCAGUAGAUCAGCAGUUUCUUCUUUGUAGUGAUGCAACUGAUUGUUUGCUGAAUAAUACAGUGAGAAUAGACUCAGCAUGCAAGCCUGUAAACUGUCUGAAGAAAAAGCAAUGUCCUUUUUUUCCCCCAAUUGCUUCCAAGCCAGUAGCUGCUUCUAAUAUUCCUGUAUCCAGUGCAAGCCCAGUGCUGUUCAAAACACACAUCUACUAUUUGUCAAGAGCUGUAAUUGUUAGGAGAAAAGGAUGUUGAGGAAAGCAGAGUGGAAACAGUAUAGGAGGGCUGGUUGUGGAACUCCUUGGGCUGAAUUUUGGGGCAGCUUGGUUCAAUUCCUGGCUCUGCUACAUCUUUGUCCUGUGACCUUAGAAAUGUCUCUCAGUCUGCUCAGUCUCAGCUCCACACAGGUGUAAAAAGAGGUAAAAAGAGGCAUCAUUUUAUGCAGUACAUACCAAAUGAAUGUCUACAUUAAGUAUUAAAUCCAUUCCUGUUUUAAGUGGUAAAGUGAGAACCAAUUCUGCAGACUUGUAUGAUGCCCAGGACACGGGGCCCUGAUUUCACAGUGCAGCAAUGGCAGUGCAAACCCCAGAAUAAUCCUGUCCUUCUAAUUCUUGACAAUGUUCAUUAUCUGCAGGCUGAGUUUCAGUAGAUGCCUUUUUUUAGCCUGUACAUUGGUGGGCGAGGGAAUGAAAGGGGAGGAUCUCCCACACCAAGCACUUUUUUUUCAGUGUAAAUACAUGUCACAUAACAUUACAGACAAAUAAAGGGUUCUUACCACUCAUAAGGUGCUAUGGUAAUCC
Long non-coding RNA from Parus major (Great Tit), 16332 nucleotides. RefSeq lists it as uncharacterized. The transcript is spliced from 17 exons. NCBI's taxonomy places the organism in Eukaryota, Metazoa, Chordata, Aves, Passeriformes, Paridae. The record is from RefSeq and is a predicted model, not a curated record.